RNAcentral lists this ribosomal RNA (2294 nucleotides) under human gut metagenome. Its description in RNAcentral is "bacterial LSU rRNA". It matches the Rfam family "Bacterial large subunit ribosomal RNA", at positions 531 to 2856 of the family's 2925-position model. The record is from RNAcentral.
GAGGGGAGUGAAAAGAAUCUGAAACUGUAUGCUUACAAAAAGUCAGAGGGCGUUAAAGCCUGAUGACGUGCCUAUUGAAGAAUGAGCCGGCGAGUUAUGUUAUCGUGCGAGGUUAAGUCGAAGAGACGGAGCCGAAGCGAAAGCGAGUCUAAAGAGGGCUACAGUACGAUGACAUAGACCCGAAACCCGACGAUCUAGCCAUGAGCAGGAUGAAGGUGGGGUACAACCCACUGGAGGUCCGAACCGACGUUCGUUGAAACGCCCGCGGAUGACUUGUGGCUCGCGGUGAAAUUCCAAUCGAGUUGGGUUAUAGCUGGUUCUCCCCGAAAUAGCUUUAGGGCUAGCCUCAGGGUUAGCUACUUGCUGGUAGAGCACUGAAUGAUAGAUGGCCGCGUCUAGCGGUACUGAUAUCAAUCAAACUCCGAAUAGUGAGAUAGUAUACCUGGGAGUCAGUCUGUGGGAGAUAAGUUCCAUGGACAAGAGGAAAAGAGUCCAGACCGCCAAAUAAGGUCCCAAAAUCUAUACUAAGUGUAAAAGGAUGUAGAGAUGCAUAGACAACUAGGAUGUUGGCUCAGAAGCAGCCAUCAUUUAAAGAGUGCGUAACAGCUCACUAGUCGAGUGCCUCCGCGCCGAAAAUUUACCGGGGCUAAGUAUAGUACCGAAGUUGCGGAUUUGAGAAAAUGGUAGGGGAGCGUUCCAUCAUCGGCGAAGCGAUACCGAAAGGAGUCGUGGAGAGGAUGGAAGUGAGAAUGCCGGUGUAAGUAACGAUAUUGGGUGAGAAUCCCAAUCACCAUUAGACUAAGGUUUCCUGGGGAAGGUUCGUCCGCCCAGGGUAAGUCGGGACCUAAGGCGAGGCUGAGAAGCGUAGUCGAUGGACGACAGGUUGAUAUUCCUGUACCCGUAUAUAAGUGAAGUAAUGACAGAGAAGGCUAGAUCGGCUACCUAAUGGAUGGUAGUACAAGCGAGAUAGCAGGUGCAAAGGCAAAUCCGUGCACAGAAUGCAAGGCGUGAAGUGGAGCGAACGAGCAAUCAAGUAGCGAAGCGAUUGAUGCCAGCUUUCAAGAAAAGUUGCUAACGUAAUUAUAUGCGGCCCGUACCGAGAACGGACACACGUGGUCAAGGAGAGUAUCCUAAGGUGAGCGAGUGAACUGUUGUUAAGGAACUCUGCAAAAUUACUUCGUAAGUUCGCAAGAAGAAGUGCUACAGCGAUGUAGCCGCAGUGAAGAGGCCCAAGUAACUGUUUAACAAAAACACAGCUUUAUGCUAAGUCGUAAGACGAUGUAUAUGAGGUGAUGCCUGCCCAGUGCUGGAAGGUUAAAAGGAGAUGUGGUCCGCAAGGAGAAGCAUUGAUCUGAAGCCCCAGUGAACGGCGGCCGUAACUAUAACGGUCCUAAGGUAGCGAAAUUCCUUGUCGGGUAAGUUCCGACGCGCAUGAAUGGUAUAAUAAUUUGGGCGCUGUCUCGACAGCAGACUCGGUGAAAUCUUAAUACCUGUGAACAUGCAGGUUACCCGCGACUAGACGGAGAGACCCCAUGGAGCUUUACUAUAGCUUAAUAUUGAAUAGUUGAAAAUCCUGUACAGGAUAGGUAGGAGACAAUGAAGUUUGUGCGUCAGCAUGAAUGGAGUCAACGGUGGGAUACUACUCUUGAUUUUCGAUUGUUCUAACUUAGAAUCAAAACGGGUUCGAGGACAGUGUUAGGUGGGUAGUUUGACUGGGGCGGUCGCCUCCUAAAGAGUAACGGAGGCGCCCCAAGGUACCCUCAGUAUGGUUGGAAAUCAUACAACGAGUGCAAAGGCAUAAGGGUGCUUGACUGCGAGACCUACAAGUCGAGCAGGGACGAAAGUCGGGCUUAGUGAUCCGGCGGUUCCGAGUGGAAGGGCCGUCGCUCAACGGAUAAAAGCUACCCUGGGGAUAACAGGCUGAUCGCGUCCAAGAGUUCACAUCGACGACGCGGUUUGGCACCUCGAUGUCGGCUCAUCGCAUCCUGGAGGGGAAGUACCUUCCAAGGGUAUGGCUGUUCGCCAUUUAAAGCGGUACGCGAGCUGGGUUCAAAACGUCGUGAGACAGUUUGGUCCCUAUCUGUCGUGGGCGUAGGAAGUUUGAAAGGAGCUGUCCCUAGUACGAGAGGACCGGGAUGGACAUAGCAAUGGUACACCAGUUGUCACGCCAGUGGCACAGCUGGGUAGCUACCUAUGGAUCGGAUAAACGCUGAAAGCAUCUAAGCGCGAAGCCGUCCUUAAGAUAAGACUUCCCAUUCGCAAGAAGUAAGAUCCCUUCAAAGUUAGGAGGUUGA